CCCUUAGAUGUUCUGGGCUGCACGCGCGCUACACUGAUGCGCUCAACGAGUUUACGACCUUGCCCGGAAGGGUUGGGUAAUCUUUUUAAAACGCAUCGUGAUGGGGAUAGAUUAUUGCAAUUAUUAAUCUUUAACGAGGAAUUCCUAGUAAGCGCGAGUCAUCAGCUCGUGCUGAUUACGUCCCUGCCCUUUGUACACACCGCCCGUCGCUACUACCGAUUGAAUGGUUUAGUGAGGCCUUCGGAUCCGCGACUCGUUUGUGGAGAAGUUGGACAAACUCAGUCAUUUAGAGGAAGUAAAAGUCGUAACA
This 310-nucleotide ribosomal RNA is filed under the name uncultured eukaryote. Its description in RNAcentral is "partial 18S ribosomal RNA". It matches the Rfam family "Eukaryotic small subunit ribosomal RNA", at positions 1470 to 1796 of the family's 1831-position model. The record is from RNAcentral.